CAAAUCGUUAAUAUGUUUAUAUUGUGUAGACGACAUUCAUAAAGAGUGCAAUGUGAUUGUAUUGCCAAAAAGGCAAGGCAUGUUGAUCCCUCGUGUCCAAUAGUGCAAUGGCCUUAGUGUAUACAUGUAACUAAUAAAUCGCUUUGCAUAGUUUUAUUAAUUUGCCAAGGAAAUCGUCAACAAGAAGAUCACCAUUUUCUUCGUUUUAUUUUCUUUUCCCUGAGUUUUUUCACUUGAGUGCGGCUAAAGCACAAAAGGAUUUCUUCAUUCAUUGGAAGGGGAAAGAAGUAUUUGAACCUGCAUCAAUGAUUUAUUAUGUAGAUUAACGUUUAUCUACUGUAAGUCAACUUUUUGUAUUUAAAUUAUCAUGAGACAAAACGAAGUACGAGUAUUAUCCAUGAUCUAUUUUCAUUCACUGCAAAUGAUUUAAAAGUAUAGAGUUCACUGAUGAAUUGUAAAAUUGUUGAAAAGUAAACUCACUAAAUUGAAAAAGAAUUUGUUAAAAUUCGCUGAAUAGGUUGAAUACUUUAGUAAACUCUAUAUCUUGUCUCUGUUUCCAGUUUCUUUGCAUGCCGUCGUAAUAUCUAC
Schizosaccharomyces pombe (fission yeast) is the source of this 588-nucleotide non-coding RNA. NCBI's taxonomy places the organism in Eukaryota, Fungi, Ascomycota, Schizosaccharomycetes, Schizosaccharomycetales, Schizosaccharomycetaceae. The record is from the annotation of a GenBank genome assembly.